GCUUUUAAAGGAUAAUAGCUCAUCCAUUGGUCUUAGGA
RNAcentral lists this transfer RNA (38 nucleotides) under Hypselobarbus lithopidos (Canara barb). Its description in RNAcentral is "partial tRNA-Leu". The record is from RNAcentral. Lineage: Eukaryota; Metazoa; Chordata; Actinopteri; Cypriniformes; Cyprinidae.